RNAcentral lists this ribosomal RNA (468 nucleotides) under uncultured bacterium. Its description in RNAcentral is "partial 16S ribosomal RNA". It matches the Rfam family "Bacterial small subunit ribosomal RNA", at positions 28 to 507 of the family's 1533-position model. The record is from RNAcentral.
GACGAACGCUGGCGGCGUGCUUAACACAUGCAAGUCGAACGGAAAGGCCCUGCUUUUGUUGGUUUCUCGAUUGGCGAACGCGUGAGUAACACGUGAGUAACCUCCCCUUGACUUUGUGAUAUCUUCACGAAACUGCGGAUAAUACCGGAUAGGAUCUCUUGCUGCAUGUGGGGGGUUGGAAAGUUUCGGCGGUUGGGGAUGUACUCGCGGCUUAUCAGCUUGUUGGUGGGGUAGUGGCUGACCGAGGCUUUGACGGGUAGCCGGCCUGAGAGGGUGACCGGCCACAUUGGGACUGAGAUACGGCCCAGACUCCUACGGGAGGCAGCAGUGGGGAAUAUUGCACAAUGGGCGGAAGCCUGAUGCAGCAACGCCGCGUGCGAGAUGACGGCCUUCGGGUUGUAAACCGCUUUCGCCUGUGACGAAGCGUGAGUGACGGUAAUGGGUAAAGAAGCACCGGCUAACUACGUG